CCCGAAACCCGGUGAUCUAGCCAUGGGCAGGUUGAAGGUUGGGUAACACUAACUGGAGGACCGAACCGACUAAUGUUGAAAAAUUAGCGGAUGACCUGUGGCUGGGGGUGAAAGGCCAAUCAAACCGGGAGAUAGCUGGUUCUCCCCGAAAGCUAUUUAGGUAGCGCCUCGUGAAUUCAUCUCCGGGGGUAGAGCACUGUUUCGGCUAGGGGGCCAUCCCGGCUUACCAACCCGAUGCAAACUGCGAAUACCGGAGAAUGUUAUCACGGGAGACACACGGCGGGUGCUAACGUCCGUCGUGAAGAGGGAAACAACCCAGACCGCCAGCUAAGGUCCCAAAGUCAUGGUUAAGUGGGAAACGAUGUGGGAAGGCCCAGACAGCCAGGAUGUUGGCUUAGAAGCAGCCAUCAUUUAAAGAAAGCGUAAUAGCUCACUGGUCGAGUCGGCCUGCGCGGAAGAUGUAACGGGGCUAAACCAUGCACCGAAGCUGCGGCAGCGACACUGUGUGUUGUUGGGUA
Molecule: ribosomal RNA, 518 nt
Filed under: Salmonella enterica subsp. enterica serovar Enteritidis
Lineage: Bacteria; Pseudomonadati; Pseudomonadota; Gammaproteobacteria; Enterobacterales; Enterobacteriaceae
Description: partial 23S ribosomal RNA
Rfam family: Bacterial large subunit ribosomal RNA
Source: RNAcentral